RNAcentral lists this ribosomal RNA (766 nucleotides) under uncultured archaeon. RNAcentral describes it as "bacterial SSU rRNA". It matches the Rfam family "Archaeal small subunit ribosomal RNA", at positions 668 to 1429 of the family's 1478-position model. The record is from RNAcentral.
AAGGGCGUCCUACCAGAAACGGGCUCCGACGGGUGAUGGACGAAAAGCUAGGGGCACGAACCGGAUUAGAUACCCGGGUAGUCCUAGCCGUAAACGAUGCAGACUAGGUGUCACGUCAGCCAUGUGCUGCCGUGGUGCCGCAGGGAAACCGUGAAGUCUGCCGCUUGGGAAGUACGUCCGCAAGGAUGAAACUUAAAGGAAUUGGCGGGGGAGCACUACAACGGGUGGAGCCUGCGGUUUAAUUGGACUCAACGCCGGAAAGCUUACCGGUCUCGACAGCUGUAUGAAGGCCAGGCUGAAGACCUUGCUGGACUAGCUGAGAGGAGGUGCAUGGCCGUCGUCAGUUCGUACCGUGAGGCGUCCUGUUAAGUCAGGCAACGAGCGAGACCCAUGCCCAUUGUUGCUAACGUACCCUCCGGGGUGACGAGUACACUGUGGGGACCGUCUGGAGCUAAUCCAGAGGAAGGAAUGGGCGACGGUAGGUCAGUAUGCCCCGAAUACACCGGGCUACACGCGGGCUACAAUGGUCGGGACAAUGGGUAUCGACACCGAAAGGUGAAGGCAAUCUCCUAAACCCGAUCGUAGUUCGGAUCGAGGGCUGCAACUCGCCCUCGUGAAGCUGGAAUCCGUAGUAAUCGCGCCUCAAAAUGUCGCGGUGAAUAAGUCCCUGCUCCUUGCACACACCGCCCGUCAAACCACCCGAGUGAAGCUUGGAUGAGGGCGCGGUUAAUUGCCGCGUUCGAAUUUAGACUCUGCAAGGGGGGUU